AGAGUGAACGCUGGCGGCAGGCCUAACACAUGCAAGUCGAACGGCAGCACAGGAGAGCUUGCUCUCUGGGUGGCGAGUGGCGGACGGGUGAGGAAUACGUCGGAAUCUGCCUAUUUGUGGGGGAUAACGUAGGGAAACUUACGCUAAUACCGCAUACGACCUACGGGUGAAAGCGGAGGACCUUCGGGCUUCGCGCAGAUAGAUGAGCCGACGUCGGAUUAGCUAGUUGGCGGGGUAAAGGCCCACCAAGGCGACGAUCCGUAGCUGGUCUGAGAGGAUGAUCAGCCACACUGGAACUGAGACACGGUCCAGACUCCUACGGGAGGCAGCAGUGGGGAAUAUUGGACAAUGGGACGCAAGCCUGACUCCAGCCCAUGCCGCGUGUGUGAAGAAGGCCUUGGUGUAAGUCACGUUUUGAACGGAAGAAAGCGUACGUGGUUAAUACCCGU
Molecule: ribosomal RNA, 449 nt
Filed under: uncultured soil bacterium
Lineage: Bacteria
Description: bacterial SSU rRNA
Rfam family: Bacterial small subunit ribosomal RNA
Source: RNAcentral